This 253-nucleotide ribosomal RNA is filed under the name uncultured bacterium. RNAcentral describes it as "partial 16S ribosomal RNA". It matches the Rfam family "Bacterial small subunit ribosomal RNA", at positions 524 to 776 of the family's 1533-position model. The record is from RNAcentral.
UACGAAGGGGGCUAGCGUUGUUCGGAAUUACUGGGCGUAAAGCGCACGUAGGCGGGUUGUUAAGUCAGGGGUGAAACCCUGGAGCUCAACUCCAGAACUGCCUUUGAUACUGGCAACCUAGAGACUGGAAGAGGUUAGUGGAAUUCCUAGUGUAGAGGUGAAAUUCGUAGAUAUUGGGAAGAACACCAGUGGCGAAGGCGGCUAACUGGUCCAGCACUGACGCUGAGGUGCGAAAGCGUGGGGAGCAAACAGG